Molecule: ribosomal RNA, 505 nt
Filed under: uncultured bacterium
Lineage: Bacteria
Description: bacterial SSU rRNA
Rfam family: Bacterial small subunit ribosomal RNA
Source: RNAcentral
GAUGAACGCUAGCGGGAGGCUUAACACAUGCAAGUCGAGGGGCAGCACGAUGUAGCAAUACGUUGGUGGCGACCGGCGCACGGGUGAGUAACACGUAUGUAACCUACCCUGUACAGGGGGAUAACCCGGAGAAAUUCGGACUAAAUACUCCAUGGAGAUAUACUGGGGCAUCCUGGUAUAUUUAAAGCUUCGGUGGUACGGGAUGGGCAUGCGGAACAUUAGCUAGUUGGCAGGGUAACGGCCUACCAAGGCUACGAUGUUUAGGGGACCUGAGAGGGUGAUCCCCCACACUGGUACUGAGACACGGACCAGACUCCUACGGGAGGCAGCAGUGAGGAAUAUUGGUCAAUGGGCGGAAGCCUGAACCAGCCAUCCCGCGUGCAGGAAGACGGCCCUAUGGGUUGUAAACUGCUUUUCCAGGGGGAGAAACUUUCCGAUGCAUCGGGAUUUGACGGUACCUGGGAAUAAGCAUCGGCUAACUCCGUGCCAGCAGCCGCGGUAAUCA